CCCGUCGACCGCGUCCACCCGGCGCCGCCAAUCGCGACCCCCGCCGCCCUUCCCGUGAUGCCCCGCGGCUGACCUGCGACCUCGCGGCUCACCACUCCCUGCGGCCCGCUUCUCUCCCCGCCCCCGCCGAGCUCGCAGCGCUCCGGCGGCCGCGGGGCGUGCCACCAGGCGCAGCUCCUCCUUUAGCGAUUCGAGGCCCUCAGCGGGCGCCCUCCCUUCGCCUUUUCUCCCCGCGGCUGGGCCCGGCGGGCGGGAAGCUGUGGCCGCGUCCGUGAGACAACUGGUCGGAUUCAAGAUGACCAACGAGGAACCUCUUCCUAAAAAGGUUCGACUGAGUGAAACAGACUUCAAAGUUAUGGCACGAGAUGAAUUAAUUCUCAGGUGGAAACAAUAUGAAGCAUAUGUGCAAGCUUUGGAGGGCAAGUACACAGAUCUUAACUCUAAUGAUGUAACUGGCUUAAGGGAAUCUGAAGAAAAACUAAAGCAACAACAGCAAGAGUCUGCACGCAGGGAAAACAUUCUUGUAAUGCGACUAGCAACCAAGGAGCAAGAGAUGCAAGAGUGUACUACUCAAAUCCAGUACCUCAAGCAAGUCCAGCAGCCUAGCGUUGCCCAACUGAGAUCAACAAUGGUAGACCCAGCGAUCAACUUGUUUUUCCUAAAAAUGAAAGGUGAACUGGAACAGACUAAAGACAAACUGGAACAAGCCCAAAAUGAACUGAGUGCCUGGAAGUUUACGCCUGAUAGAGGCCUGAUGGCGUCGGACUAUUCCGAAGAAGUGGCCACCUCCGAAAAAUUCCCCUUCUAGAACAUGUAGACACUUGAGAAAUGUUUCUGUUUGAAGAAAAUAGAGGGAGAAACAGAAGUCUUAAGUCUGUGGCACACUGUGUCUUCAGACAGUUUGGAGGAAUGAAAACCUAGAGAUUUAAAAUCAUGAAUUGAACAUGUAAAAUUCCAGUAAAUGUAAAGAUGGAAUAUGCAUCGCUCUUAACCUUGAGCAUAGUGACUUAGAGACACUGUAUAUCAGUUUUGCCAAUAAGACUGUGGACUUCGUGAUUGUUGUUGAACUUCUGGGUCAAACUCAAAUGAGGUGAAUUUUGCCUUUAAAGGGUUUAUUUGCUAAGAACCAACUUAAUAGUCAUGAGAGAAUCAAAUAAUAGAUGUCAGUACAAGUAGUUCAUAUAUUUAACCAUUUAGUUUGGGGCUCCAUAUUACUUGAUUGAGCCUUAAAUCAAUGUGGUUUUACUCAAUGGUUUGUUCUUUGAAUGGUUGCUAAUACUGUAGAUAAUCUUAUUGAGGACUGUACAAAUAAUGAAGGUGUGGUAUCAAACUUCAGGUCUAAACUGUUUGAAGCAUUAUAAACAUUCAUUUCACAACUAGAUUGUAUAAGGAUAUUAGCUGUGAUGAGACUCACUGCGUUAUUUUUUUCAGUAGUGAAAUUUAUUAAAUCCCCAUUCCAUUCAACAGGCACAUGUUGAAAGAGCAUUGUCGUUGGUGUUAAUGGGGGAAUGUGUUCCUUCAUUGUAUUUGGGCCUUUUGUAUUGCACUCUUGAUAUUAAAUUAAAUGUGCCUUGAAAUAGUUGGUUUUUUUUUUUUGUUUUGGUUUUGUUUUUUAAGUUCAAGGAUUACUAUGAUGAUUUUGUUGUACUUCUAACAUUUUGGUUUUGGGGGGGCUGUGAGAGCAGAUUGAUUUCAAAAAAAUUGUUGCUAUGCUCUUCAAAGUGAAGGAGAAGGCUCUGUGUCUCAUUUUUUAAAGACCUACUUUUUUUCCAGCUGGUAUCAUAAAAGACAAGGAGACUUGACACUUGUUGCUUUUUGACACCUUGUCCCAGGAUAUUGCAGUAGACAUUAAUGUGGGACAGCUUCACAGGGUGCCUGCCAGAAGAUUGGGGACAGAAUGUAUUGGAACUGUGGGCUGGCCUAAGUGAGACAUUUUGUGAAUUGGAGAAAAAUAUAUAUAUAUAUAGUGAUCAUUUCUAGCAAAUUCAUUUGAUCAUUUAGAUAAAAGAGGCAUUAUUUUCUUCAUGCUUCCAUCCAAUCCUGGAGGUGAAUUUUUUCGUCAGAUCAUUCUAUAAGUCACCAAUUCGAAUUUUCACUUGGUGAUAAUGGAGUCUAAGAUGAGUGGAAGAUAAAUGUUCCAGAUUGCCCCAACGUUUAAGUGCAGUUUUAACAAGGGUGACUUAAGUUCUCUCUUAAUCAUUCAAAUCAAUUCCAAACAGGCAAAAAGUUAAUGGCGAAGUGUCGAAUGCUUAUCCAGGAGAAUCAAGAGCUUGGAAGGCAGCUGUCCCAGGG
RNA transcript from Balaenoptera ricei (Rice's whale), 2292 nucleotides. It is a transcript of the gene named WT1 associated protein, with no coding region annotated. The transcript is spliced from 8 exons. NCBI's taxonomy places the organism in Eukaryota, Metazoa, Chordata, Mammalia, Artiodactyla, Balaenopteridae. The record is from RefSeq and is a predicted model, not a curated record.